UGGGGAAUAUUGGACAAUGGGGGGAAACCUGAUCCAGCCAUGCCGCGUGUGUGAAGAAGGCCUUAUGGUUGUAAAGCACUUUAAGCGAGGAGGAGGGUACUGGUAUUAAUACUACCAGGUACUGGACGUUACUCGCAGAAUAAGCACCGGCUAACUCUGUGCCAGCAGCCGCGGUAAUACAGAGGGUGCGAGCGUUAAUCGGAUUUACUGGGCGUAAAGCGUGCGUAGGCGGCUAAUUGAGUCGGAUGUGAAAUCCCCGAGCUUAACUUGGGAAUUGCAUUCGAUACUGGUUAGCUAGGGUGUGGGAGAGGAUGGUAGAAUUCCAGGUGUAGCGGUGAAAUGCGUAGAGAUCUGGAGGAAUACCGAUGGCGAAGGCAGCCAUCUGGCCUAACACUGACGCUGAGGUACGAAAGCAUGGGGAGCAAACCGG
Molecule: ribosomal RNA, 430 nt
Filed under: Pseudomonadota bacterium
Lineage: Bacteria; Pseudomonadati; Pseudomonadota
Description: Proteobacteria bacterium partial 16S ribosomal RNA
Rfam family: Bacterial small subunit ribosomal RNA
Source: RNAcentral